CCCUCCCUCUGGCGGCAUGCCUAACACAUGCAAGUCGAACGAGACCUUCGGGUCUAGUGGCGCACGGGUGCGUAACGCGUGGGAACCUGCCCUUAGGUUCGGAAUAACUCCCCGAAAGGGGUGCUAAUACCGGAUAAUGUCUUCGGACCAAAGAUUUAUCGCCUUUGGAUGGGCCCGCGUUGGAUUAGCUAGUUGGUAGGGUAAAAGCCUACCAAGGCGACGAUCCAUAGCUGGUCUGAGAGGAUGAUCAGCCACACUGGGACUGAGACACGGCCCAGACUCCUACGGGAGGCAGCAGUGGGGAAUAUUGGACAAUGGGCGAAAGCCUGAUCCAGCCAGGCCGCGUGAGUGAUGAAGGCCUUAGGGUUGUAAAGCUCUUUUACCCGGGAUGAUAAUGACAGUACCGGGAGAAUAAGCUCCGGCUAACUCCGUG
This 433-nucleotide ribosomal RNA is filed under the name uncultured bacterium. RNAcentral describes it as "partial 16S ribosomal RNA". It matches the Rfam family "Bacterial small subunit ribosomal RNA", at positions 36 to 507 of the family's 1533-position model. The record is from RNAcentral.